Molecule: ribosomal RNA, 274 nt
Filed under: uncultured bacterium
Lineage: Bacteria
Description: partial 16S ribosomal RNA
Rfam family: Bacterial small subunit ribosomal RNA
Source: RNAcentral
AUACGGAGGGUGCGAGCGUUAAUCGGAAUUACUGGGCGUAAAGCGUGCGUAGGCGGUUUGCUAAGUCAGAUGUGAAAGCCCCGGGCUUAACCUGGGGACUGCAUUUGAUACUGGCAGACUAGAGUAUGAUAGAGGGGGGUAGAAUUCCUGGUGUAGCGGUGAAAUGCGUAGAUAUCAGGAGGAAUACCAGUGGCGAAGGCGGCCCCCUGGAUCAAUACUGACGCUGAGGUACGAAAGCGUGGGGAGCGAACAGGAUUAGAAACCCUAGUAGUCC